Myotis davidii is the source of this 74-nucleotide non-coding RNA. NCBI's taxonomy places the organism in Eukaryota, Metazoa, Chordata, Mammalia, Chiroptera, Vespertilionidae. The record is from Rfam.
CUUGUGGGGGGGGGGUCCCUUAGCUCAGAUUUCAAGAGGGUGCAGGCCAGGCUGAGGGACCCCACUGGUGCACU